CCUACGGGACGCAGCAGUGGGGAAUAUUGGACAAUGGGCGAAAGCCUGAUCCAGCCAUGCCGCGUGUGUGAAGAAGGCCUUCGGGUUGUAAAGCACUUUCAGUGGGGAAGAAAGCCUUGGGGCUAAUACCCUCGAGGAAGGACAUCACCCACAGAAGAAGCACCGGCUAACUCCGUGCCAGCAGCCGCGGUAAUACGGAGGGUGCGAGCGUUAAUCGGAAUUACUGGGCGUAAAGCGCGCGUAGGCGGUCUGAUAAGCCGGUUGUGAAAGCCCCGGGCUCAACCUGGGAACGGCAUCCGGAACUGUCAGGCUAGAGUGCAGGAGAGGAAGGUAGAAUUCCCGGUGUAGCGGUGAAAUGCGUAGAGAUCGGGAGGAAUACCAGUGGCGAAGGCGGCCUUCUGGACUGACACUGACGCUGAGGUGCGAAAGCGUGGGUAGCAAACCGGAUUAGAUACCCUAGUAGUC
This 465-nucleotide ribosomal RNA is filed under the name Vreelandella stevensii. RNAcentral describes it as "partial 16S ribosomal RNA". It matches the Rfam family "Bacterial small subunit ribosomal RNA", at positions 338 to 795 of the family's 1533-position model. Lineage: Bacteria; Pseudomonadati; Pseudomonadota; Gammaproteobacteria; Oceanospirillales; Halomonadaceae. The record is from RNAcentral.